Molecule: ribosomal RNA, 883 nt
Filed under: uncultured delta proteobacterium
Lineage: Bacteria; Deltaproteobacteria
Description: bacterial SSU rRNA
Rfam family: Bacterial small subunit ribosomal RNA
Source: RNAcentral
ACGCUAGCGGCGGGCUUAACACAUGCAAGUCGAACGCACGACCUGACUUCGGUCAGUUAGUGAGUGGCGCACGGGUGAGUAACACGUAGGUAACGUGCCUCGGAACGGGGGAUAACAGGCCGAAAGGCCUGCUAAUACCGCAUAAGACCACAGUGUCCUCGGACACAGUGGUAAAAGAUGGGGAUCUCUUCGGAGACCUGUCAUUCCGAGAGCGGCCUGCGGCCCAUUAGCUAGUAGGUGGGGUAAUGGCCCACCUAGGCUUUGAUGGGUAGCUGGUUUGAGAGAAUGAUCAGCCACACUGGAACUGAGACACGGUCCAGACUCCUACGGGAGGCAGCAGUGGGGAAUAUUGCGCAAUGGGCGAAAGCCUGACGCAGCCACGCCGCGUGAGUGACGAAGGCCUUCGGGUUGUAAAGCUCUGUCGCAAGGGAAGAAAUACUUGGAGUUAAUAGCUUCAGGGGAUGACGGUACCUUGCAAGAAAGCACCGGCUAACUCCGUGCCAGCAGCCGCGGUAAUACGGAGGGUGCAAGCGUUGUUCGGAUUCACUGGGCGUAAAGCGUGCGUAGGCGGCCAAGUAAGUCGGAUGUGAAAGCCCAGGGCUCAACCCUGGAACUGCAUCCGAUACUGCCUGGCUUGAGUGUGGGAGAGGGAAGCGGAAUUCCUGGUGUAGCGGUGAAAUGCGUAGAUAUCAGGAGGAACACCCGUGGCGAAAGCGGCUUCCUGGCCCAAAACUGACGCUGAGGCACGAGAGCGUGGGGAGCAAACAGGAUUAGAUACCCUGGUAGUCCACGCCGUAAACGAUGAGUGCUAGGUGUUGGGAGUGUUGACCCUCUCAGUGCCGUCGCUAACGCAUUAAGCACUCCGCCUGGGGAGUACGGCCGC